GUACACUCCUACGGGAGGCAGCAGUGGGGAAUUUUGGACAAUGGGCGAAAGCCUGAUACAGCAAUGCCGCGUGAGUGAAGAAGGCCUUCGGGUUGUAAAGCUCUUUUGUCAGGGAAGAAACGGUGAAAGCUAAUAUCUUUUGCUAAUGACGGUACCUGAAGAAUAAGCACCGGCUAACUACGUGCCAGCAGCCGCGGUAAUACGUAGGGUGCAAGCGUUAAUCGGAAUUACUGGGCGUAAAGCGUGCGCAGGCGGUUUUGUAAGUCUGAUGUGAAAUCCCCGGGCUCAACCUGGGAAUUGCAUUGGAGACUGCAAGGCUAGAAUCUGGCAGAGGGGGGUAGAAUUCCACGUGUAGCAGUGAAAUGCGUAGAUAUGUGGAGGAACACCGAUGGCGAAGGCAGCCCCCUGGGUCAAGAUUGACGCUCAUGCACGAAAGCGUGGGGAGCAAACAGGAUUAGAUACCCUUGUAGUCCC
RNAcentral lists this ribosomal RNA (474 nucleotides) under uncultured organism. RNAcentral's name for it is "partial 16S ribosomal RNA". It matches the Rfam family "Bacterial small subunit ribosomal RNA", at positions 331 to 797 of the family's 1533-position model. The record is from RNAcentral.